RNAcentral lists this ribosomal RNA (220 nucleotides) under uncultured Archaeospora. Its description in RNAcentral is "partial small subunit ribosomal RNA". It matches the Rfam family "Eukaryotic small subunit ribosomal RNA", at positions 591 to 817 of the family's 1831-position model. Lineage: Eukaryota; Fungi; Glomeromycota; Glomeromycetes; Archaeosporales; Archaeosporaceae. The record is from RNAcentral.
CCAAUAGCGUAUAUUAAAGUUGUUGCAGUUAAAAAGCUCGUAGUUGAAUUUUAGGCCUGGCCGGGCGGUCCGUCUUUGGCGAGUACUGUCCUGUGUCGGGUCCACCUUCUGGUGAACCAGUAUGUCCUUUAUUGGGUGUGCCGGGGAGCCAGGACCAUUACCUUGAAAAAAUUAGAGUGUUUAAAGCAGGCAUUUGCUUGAAUAGAUUAGCAUGGAAUAA